RNAcentral lists this ribosomal RNA (1704 nucleotides) under Shigella sonnei. RNAcentral's name for it is "partial 23S ribosomal RNA". It matches the Rfam family "Bacterial large subunit ribosomal RNA", at positions 1233 to 2915 of the family's 2925-position model. Lineage: Bacteria; Pseudomonadati; Pseudomonadota; Gammaproteobacteria; Enterobacterales; Enterobacteriaceae. The record is from RNAcentral.
GGAGCGUUCUGUAAGCCUGCGAAGGUGUGCUGUGAGGCAUGCUGGAGGUAUCAGAAGUGCGAAUGCUGACAUAAGUAACGAUAAAGCGGGUGAAAAGCCCGCUCGCCGGAAGACCAAGGGUUCCUGUCCAACGUUAAUCGGGGCAGGGUGAGUCGACCCCUAAGGCGAGGCCGAAAGGCGUAGUCGAUGGGAAACAGGUUAAUAUUCCUGUACUUGGUAUUACUGCGAAGGGGGGACGGAGAAGGCUAUGUUGGCCGGGCGACGGUUGUCCCGGUUUAAGCGUGUAGGCUGGUUUUCCAGGCAAAUCCGGAAAAUCAAGGCUGAGGCGUGAUGACGAGGCACUACGGUGCUGAAGCAACAAAUGCCCUGCUUCCAGGAAAAGCCUCUAAGCAUCAGGUAACAUCAAAUCGUACCCCAAACCGACACAGGUGGUCAGGUAGAGAAUACCAAGGCGCUUGAGAGAACUCGGGUGAAGGAACUAGGCAAAAUGGUGCCGUAACUUCGGGAGAAGGCACGCUGAUAUGUAGGUGAAGUCCCUUGCGGAUGGAGCUGAAAUCAGUCGAAGAUACCAGCUGGCUGCAACUGUUUAUUAAAAACACAGCACUGUGCAAACACGAAAGUGGACGUAUACGGUGUGACGCCUGCCCGGUGCCGGAAGGUUAAUUGAUGGGGUCAGCGCAAGCGAAGCUCUUGAUCGAAGCCCCGGUAAACGGCGGCCGUAACUAUAACGGUCCUAAGGUAGCGAAAUUCCUUGUCGGGUAAGUUCCGACCUGCACGAAUGGCGUAAUGAUGGCCAGGCUGUCUCCACCCGAGACUCAGUGAAAUUGAACUCGCUGUGAAGAUGCAGUGUACCCGCGGCAAGACGGAAAGACCCCGUGAACCUUUACUAUAGCUUGACACUGAACAUUGAGCCUUGAUGUGUAGGAUAGGUGGGAGGCUUUGAAGUGUGGACGCCAGUCUGCAUGGAGCCGGCCUUGAAAUACCACCCUUUAAUGUUUGAUGUUCUAACGUGGACCCGUGAUCCGGGUUGCGGACAGUGUCUGGUGGGUAGUUUGACUGGGGCGGUCUCCUCCUAAAGAGUAACGGAGGAGCACGAAGGUUGGCUAAUCCUGGUCGGACAUCAGGAGGUUAGUGCAAUGGCAUAAGCCAGCUUGACUGCGAGCGUGACGGCGCGAGCAGGUGCGAAAGCAGGUCAUAGUGAUCCGGUGGUUCUGAAUGGAAGGGCCAUCGCUCAACGGAUAAAAGGUACUCCGGGGAUAACAGGCUGAUACCGCCCAAGAGUUCAUAUCGACGGCGGUGUUUGGCACCUCGAUGUCGGCUCAUCACAUCCUGGGGCUGAAGUAGGUCCCAAGGGUAUGGCUGUUCGCCAUUUAAAGUGGUACGCGAGCUGGGUUUAGAACGUCGUGAGACAGUUCGGUCCCUAUCUGCCGUGGGCGCUGGAGAACUGAGGGGGGCUGCUCCUAGUACGAGAGGACCGGAGUGGACGCAUCACUGGUGUUCGGGUUGUCAUGCCAAUGGCACUGCCCGGUAGCUAAAUGCGGAAGAGAUAAGUGCUGAAAGCAUCUAAGCACGAAACUUGCCCCGAGAUGAGUUCUCCCUGACCCUUUAAGGGUCCUGAAGGAACGUUGAAGACGACGACGUUGAUAGGCCGGGUGUGUAAGCGCAGCGAUGCGUUGAGCUAACCGGUACUAAUGAACCGUGAGG